AAUGAACGCUGGCGGCGUGCCUAACACAUGCAAGUCGAACGGAAGGACCCUGAGCUUGUGCCCUUACCGUUAGCGGCGGGCGGGCGAGUAACGCGUGCAUCCCCUACUUCUUUUUCGUGGAUGAUUACGUAAGACAGGUUACUAUACGACAGCAUAUAUUGUACCGCUGUGGUCAAUGGAGAGUCUCGCCUUUUGCGUUUGAACUAGCUGAUUCCGCGCCGCAUUAGCUGGUUGGUAAGGUACCAGCAUACCAAGGCAACGAUGCGUAGCCGACCUGAGAGGGUGAUCGGCCACACUGGAACUGAGACAUGGUCCAGACUCCUACGGGAGGCAGCAGUAGGGAAUCUUCCGCAAUGGGCGAAAGCCUGACGGAGCAACGCCGCGUGAGUGAUGAAGGUCUUCGGAUCGUAAAGCUCUGUUAUUAGGGAAGAACAAAUGUGGAAGUAACUAUGCACGUCUUGACGGUACCUAAUCAGAAAGCCACGGCUAACUACGUG
This 497-nucleotide ribosomal RNA is filed under the name uncultured bacterium. RNAcentral's name for it is "partial 16S ribosomal RNA". It matches the Rfam family "Bacterial small subunit ribosomal RNA", at positions 29 to 507 of the family's 1533-position model. The record is from RNAcentral.